GGUUGUAAGGACCAUCUGGCUGCAGCAUUUGGCACUCUAGUGAUUGUCAAUGUUGAUUCAGCUAAUAAGGUCUGCUAAGCAGGUGUCCCCUUCCUCCCUCACCAUAGUUCCAUGGAUUUCCUCCCUGAAGCUGUGGCUUACUUGAAAAGGACAGUCUGUCCCUAUAGAGGAGUAUUGGCCUUUAGUUGAGAUCAUAGCUCACAUUUCUCUAGCCUUUUCUAGUUUACAGAGUUCUUUCCUCAGAACGACUCUGUGAGGCAGAUCGAGCAAAUGCCUCUAACCUCAUUUCACAGAUGAGGAAAUGGAAGUUCAGA
RNAcentral lists this small nuclear RNA (314 nucleotides) under Phascolarctos cinereus (koala). Its description in RNAcentral is "7SK RNA (ENSPCIG00000030360.2)". It matches the Rfam family "7SK RNA". From Rfam's summary of the family: 7SK was discovered as an abundant small nuclear RNA in the mid-70s but a possible function has only recently been suggested. Two independent studies have found that 7SK RNA binds the CDK9/cyclin T complex (known as elongation factor P-TEFb). P-TEFb activates transcription by phosphorylating the C-terminal domain of RNA polymerase II. The record is from Rfam by way of RNAcentral. Lineage: Eukaryota; Metazoa; Chordata; Mammalia; Diprotodontia; Phascolarctidae.